AGUCAGGAUGGCCGAGUGGUCUAAGGCGCCAGACUCAAGUUCUGGUCUUCGAGAGAGGGCGUGGGUUCAAAUCCCACUUCUGACAA
RNAcentral lists this transfer RNA (86 nucleotides) under Medicago truncatula (barrel medic). RNAcentral's name for it is "tRNA gene23846". It matches the Rfam family "tRNA". Rfam says of the family: Transfer RNA (tRNA) molecules are approximately 80 nucleotides in length. Their secondary structure includes four short double-helical elements and three loops (D, anti-codon, and T loops). Lineage: Eukaryota; Viridiplantae; Streptophyta; Magnoliopsida; Fabales; Fabaceae. The record is from RNAcentral. RNAcentral also lists the same sequence under 2 other names.